CCCUUAGAUGUUCUGGGCUGCACGCGCGCUACACUGAUGCAUACAGCGAGUACUUUCCAGCUCCGCGAGGCAGCUGGUAAUCAGCAAUAUGCAUCGUGCUGGGGAUAGAUCUUUGGAAUUAUAGAUCUUGAACGAGGAAUUCCUAGUAAGCGCAAGUCAUUAGCUUGCGCUGAUUAAGUCCCUGCCCUUUGUACACACCGCCCGUCGCUCCUACCGAUUUCGAGUGAUUCGGUGAACCUUUUGGACAGCGUCUGUCCUCGUGUCAGAUGCUGAAAGUCAAGUAAACCAUAUCACUUAGAGGAAGGAGAAGUCGUAACA
Molecule: ribosomal RNA, 318 nt
Filed under: uncultured eukaryote
Lineage: Eukaryota
Description: partial 18S ribosomal RNA
Rfam family: Eukaryotic small subunit ribosomal RNA
Source: RNAcentral